RNAcentral lists this ribosomal RNA (435 nucleotides) under uncultured bacterium. RNAcentral describes it as "partial 16S ribosomal RNA". It matches the Rfam family "Bacterial small subunit ribosomal RNA", at positions 28 to 507 of the family's 1533-position model. The record is from RNAcentral.
GAUGAACGCUGGCGGUAUGCUUAACACAUGCAAGUCGAACGGACUCUUCGGAGUUUGUGGCGGACGGGUGAGUAAGGCGUGAGAAUCUGGCUUUGGGUUCGGGACAACCACUGGAAACGGUGGCUAAUACCGGAUGUGCUGAGAGGUAAUAGGGAAAUUGCCUGCAGAUGAGCUCGCGUCUGAUUACCUAGUUGGUGAGGUAAAGGCUCACCAAGGCAGCGAUCAGUAGCUGGUCGGAGAGGAUGACCAGCCACACUGGGACUGAGACACGGCCCAGACUCCUACGGGAGGCAGCAGGGGGUAAUUUUCCGCAAUGGGCGAAAGCCUGACGGGGCAAUACGGCGUGAGGGAAGAAGUCUCUUGGGUUAUAGAGCGCUUUUCUUGGGGGAGAACAAAGUGACGGUACCUAAGGAAUCAGCAUCGGCUAACUCCGUG